AGCUCAGUCAUUAGAGCGGUUGCCUCACAAGCAUAAGGAUCUGAGUUCAAUCCUCAG
RNAcentral lists this transfer RNA (57 nucleotides) under Rattus norvegicus (Norway rat). It matches the Rfam family "tRNA", at positions 9 to 63 of the family's 71-position model. From Rfam's summary of the family: Transfer RNA (tRNA) molecules are approximately 80 nucleotides in length. Their secondary structure includes four short double-helical elements and three loops (D, anti-codon, and T loops). Further hydrogen bonds mediate the characteristic L-shaped molecular structure. tRNAs have two regions of fundamental functional importance: the anti-codon, which is responsible for specific mRNA codon recognition, and the 3' end, to which the tRNAs corresponding amino acid is attached (by aminoacyl-tRNA synthetases). tRNAs cope with the degeneracy of the genetic code in two manners: having more than one tRNA (with a specific anti-codon) for a particular amino acid; and 'wobble' base-pairing, i.e. permitting non-standard base-pairing at the 3rd anti-codon position. The record is from Rfam by way of RNAcentral. Lineage: Eukaryota; Metazoa; Chordata; Mammalia; Rodentia; Muridae.